AGUGCCAAGGAUCGAAACUGGGGCCUCGUGCAUGUUAGGAGGUUGCUGUAAAAGCCAGUUCAGCUGUCUUGCUCAUGUUCCCGACUCUCACCAUUAUGAUGGCCCGUGGAGCCUUGGGACUCUGCCAGCAUAAGGCCCCAAAAUGUAGUUCCUCUAACUUAAACUUUAAUUGUAACUAAAACAAACUUUUUUCUUUAUAAUGUGCUCAGCCUGUGGUAGUAUGUUAUUCACUACAUAAUUUGUAGUAAACCACAAGUCACAUUCAACAUCAGUGGUUAAUUUGGGGUGUGGAAAUAUUGAUAAAUUAUUUGUUUUCUUCAUAUCCUUUGCUCUUUUAUUUUAAAGUAUGAGUAUCAUGUGGUUCUUAUUAGUAUUUGUGUUGUUUUAUCUUGUCUUGAUUUUAUUUACUUUAUAAUUAUUAUAUUUUUGAACAGAGUCUCAGGUAGUCCAAGUUAGCUGAAAAUUUUCUAGGUAACCAAAGACAGUCUUGAAGUCUUGACCCUCCUAGCUCUGUCUCUUUCAACACAUGGUGUUGGGAAAACUGGUAGAAGUAGAAAAAUGAAAGCAGAUCCCUAUCUCUCACCCUUUAUGAAGAUCAACUCAAAGUAGAUUAAAAAAAAGAAAAAACAACUAAUGUAUGACUUAAACCCUGAAACUACUACAAGAGAAGGUUGUGUUGUGGGGAAGACUUCAAAAUAUAGGCAUAGGCAAGGACUUUCUGGAAAAGGGCUCUAUCCAUUCACUAUGCCAACAACUGACAAACAGGACUGCAUAAAACCAAACAUCCAGUACUCAAAAUAUAAAGUACAAAUGACCAGUAAACAGGAAAAAAUGUUCAAUAUCACUGGCUAUCAGAAGACUGCUAAUUAAAUGUCAUCAAGGGACUAGGGGGUGCAGCUUAGUUGGUAGAUUCCUUCCCUGGCCUGCAAGAAGUCCUGGGUUCAAUUCUCAGCACCUCACGAUCACAUAAACUUGGUGUAGAUGUACAUGCCCGUGAUCUUGAAAUUCGGGAGACAGGCAAAAGAAUCAAAAGUUCAAUGUCAUCCUCAGAUAUAUAGCAAGUUCAAGGCCAGACUGCACUAUAUGAGACAGUCUCAGAGGGGAAAAAAGUCAUUUACAGGAAAACCAUACAUCCUGAGAUUAUCAUAGUAAGCAAAUUGAGUCAAAUCAAUAUCACACUAGAGGGCAAGAUCACAGCAAGUUUGGGGCUCUUAUGUCCUAUGUAGCACGACUAUCUGGAAAAAGAAUAAAGAAAAAAAUAUUAUGUUUUGAAAA
Peromyscus eremicus (cactus mouse) is the source of this 1275-nucleotide long non-coding RNA. RefSeq lists it as uncharacterized. The record is from RefSeq and is a predicted model, not a curated record. The transcript is spliced from 2 exons. NCBI's taxonomy places the organism in Eukaryota, Metazoa, Chordata, Mammalia, Rodentia, Cricetidae.